RNAcentral lists this ribosomal RNA (426 nucleotides) under uncultured bacterium. Its description in RNAcentral is "partial 16S ribosomal RNA". It matches the Rfam family "Bacterial small subunit ribosomal RNA", at positions 354 to 796 of the family's 1533-position model. The record is from RNAcentral.
GUGAGGAAUUUUCCGCAAUGGGCGAAAGCCUGACGGAGCAAUGCCGCGUGAAGGAUGAAGGCCUAUGGGUUGUAAACUUCUUUUCUCAGAAAAGAAUUAUGACGGUAUCUGAGGAAUAAGCAUCGGCUAACUCUGUGCCAGCAGCCGCGGUAAGACAGAGGAUGCAAGCGUUAUCCGGAAUGAUUGGGCGUAAAGCGUCUGUAGGUUGUUUAAAAAGUAUUCUGUCAAAGAUUAGGGCUUAACCCUAGAUAGGCAGAAUAAACUUUUAAGCUAGAGUUUGGUAGAGGCAGAGGGAAUUCCCGGUGGAGCGAUGAAAUGCGUAGAUAUCGGGAGGAACACCAAAGGCGAAGGCACUCUGCUGGGCCAAUACUAACACUGAGAGACGAAAGCGAGGGGAGCAAAUGGGAUUAGAUACCCUGGUAGUCC